UGGUUGGGGCAGGUCAGCCUCUUGGCAGAACCUCACGGUAUUAGAACACAGAAGAGACUUUUAUUUUUAGCUUUACUGUCUCAGAAACUUAAUUUUGCCAGGGCACACAGUCUGGUCACAUUUAGGGAGACUGACAAAAGCUAAUCAAAGUUAGGGGAAACUAACAUGUAAAAGCCCAGAGUAUUCAUAAAAGGCAUAUGGAGUUUAUACAUUUUCAAACAUCAUCUCUUACUCCGAUGGAAAUAUGUGCAUUGGUCCAUGCUCUGAAAGUAAAACUGUGUGGAAAGAUGAUUUUACUAAGUAAGAAGGUGGGCCUGUUCCCUGCUUUGCCAUUUCUCUGUGAAAUGAUGGUGCCAUCAGAAUUUGAAGUGUCUACUUUCCUAGACCAGGUACAAAGUUUGAAAUAAAAUCUGCUAGGAGAAGACUUAAAAAGGCAAUUUUCUUUCCACUUUGAUAUUCAAAUGAGCCAUGUGCAGAUUUCAGCCUUUCUCUAUCUUUCUUUAAUAAGAUGGUAGGAAAUGAGUUAUGGUGAUUUUUUUUUUUUUCCACUGUUGGUUAUCUAAAACACUAGAAUUUGCGGUCCUUUACGUUUCCCUUUGACCAGUCAUGACAUUAGCAAUGCUUUGCCCGUGUAUGAGGCAGUAUCUUUAUCAUUCAGUAGUUUUGGUUUUUAUUAGCAGCGAUUGCUAUUUUGCCAUGUGGCGCCCCCUAACCCCUGAAGGGGUACAGAUCUGUGAGUUCUGAGUCUGAGGUGCUGGUUUUACCAGGAUAAGCUAGGGAUCCUGGCAGACCUACUAAUUCACUUGCAGAGCCUCCGCAAUUCACUCCUAUCCCUGGGAGACAGAACAUUCUGUGUUGGUACAAGGCCAAGAAGCCCACAGCUGUGACUAAUCAGCUGGUAUGUUCCCUCAGGCUCUUCCAGAGAAAUUGAGAUUUCAUGGGACUCCAAUAUGAGUCCAAUAAAGACAAAAGACAUAUUCCCAUGACAGAGAAUAUUAUCCUGUGAGGAGAUCAAAGCUUGAAGAACACCUUUCAGCAUCUUGUAAGGCAAGUCCUAUGGUGAUGAACUUCUUCAUUCCUGAAAUACAGCUAUACCAGGUUAGAUAGUCUUCUUUGCAAUUUUUUUCUUUCAACAAUUUGACUCUAUCAUCUCACUUUCUCCUGGUCUGCUAGGCUUCUGCUGAGAAAUACACUGAUAGCUUUACGGGGAUUUCCUUAUAUGCAUUUGUUUCUCUUUAUGUGUUCUCUUGUUUAAAAUGUUUUCAUUGUCUUUGAUCUUAGACAGUUUUAUUAUAAUUUACUUGGAGAAGAUUGUUCUCGGUUGAAAUUUUGGGGUGACCUAUUAAUUUCAUGAACUUGGAAAUAUGAAUCUCUCUCAAGAUUUAGGAAGUUCUCAGACAUUAUUCUUUUAAUUAAAUUUCUGCUUUUUUCUUCCUCUCUUCUCAUACUGAAAUUAUAAUAAUGCAUAGAUUGUUUAUUUUAGUGGCAAUCCAUAAUUCAAGUAGGCUUUCUUCACUCCUUUAAAUAUUUUUGUUUUUUACUUUUUGUUCUUUUAACUGGAUGAUUUCAAGUGAUGUAUCUUCUGUUUCACUAAUUCUUUCUUCUGCUUGGCUAUUGUUAAAGACUAAUAUAUUCUUCAGUUCAAUCAGUGUAUUUUUCAAUUCUAAGAUGUCUAUUUUUUAAUGGUUUCUGUUUCUUUAUUGAACUUCCUAUUUUGUUCAUUCAUUGUUUUCCUAAUUUUAUUUAAUUAUCUAUCUGUGUUUUCUUGUAAACUGAAUUUCUAUAAAGGUGUUAAUCAGAAUUCUUUUCAGACAGUUUUGGGAUUAAUCAGAAUUCUUUUCAGACAGUUUUUGAUCUCUGUUUCUUUAAAGUCACUCAUUAGAGUUUUAUUAGUUUUCUUUGGUUGAGUCAUAUUUCCUUGUUUAUUCAUAAUCCUUGUGGCCUUGCAUUGGUAUCUGUACAUUUGAAGAGGUAAAACCUCUUUUGGCCUUUAUAGUUCGACUUUGACAUACAAAACCCUUCAUGAGAGAAGUCUGUCCAAAGAUUCUGGGUGGACUGUCUGGUGGUGACCAAAGGUAGGCUUGCUUCUAGUGUCCUUGGGUGGAUAAGUCUGGUGUUAGCAAGUUGGAGAUCCUAUUGUUUGUGUACACAGGGGCCAUCCUGGUGCCUGGGUCCAUGUGGAUGGCUCUGAUGUGGAGACUACUGUGAUGUUCCUGAGACCUGGUCUGCAUGGGCAGGCUUGGAUCAUGGGUCAGAGCCUAGGAACCACUGUGGUAGCCUGGCAUUUGCGCUCACUUCACUUUCCUUCUCCCAUGGGAAGAGGGUAUUUUUCUGUGUGCUGGGUUACCUAGGGUUGGAGAAGAAUGUUGAGAGUAGUGUGAAUCUGUCUUUCCUACCUUCUUGAUUAUCUUUUCUAAUUUCUGUGCUUCAUUCAGGUGCUGUAAUUUCUUAUCUGGAAUUCUUGGCUAUUGUAAAAUUGUUUUUGCAUGUGGAUAGUUGUUCAAACUGAAAAACUCUAAAAAUUCCUAUGCCACCAUUUUGCUGAUGUUCAUCCCCAUACUUUAAUUGUUGUUCUUUAAUCUCAGAUAUUAGUUCUAAAUAUGUUAAAAACAAAGGAAAACUCAACAAGCUAUCAAACCAGAGCCAAAACAGAUAAGCAAGCAGACAAAGAAGCAAAGAAACAAAACAGAAUUCCAAGCUAUCAUGAUAGUCAAAUCCAGAAGCAGUGUAGCUUCUAAAGGCAACAGGAUCCAGAGAAGUAUUUAUCAUCUCAAAGUCUAUUAGUGCUUUCUUGUGGUCGCUAGUUUAUUCAUAAAUAUGUUUUUUAUUAAAGCAACUUUGUCCAUAGAAUGAGGGAAAGCAAGACUAUACCUUAUAAUGAUAGUUCUCUGCUCAUGAGGUAUUUAAUUUUAAAUAUCAGUUAUAUUCUCCUUCCUUUGCAUUUGAUUGGUGAGUAAUUGAGUCAUGAAGGGAUAUAUUGUAGGUGAGGGGGAGCAUCAUGGGAGAACAACAGCGAAUCCUUUGCCUAUGAUUUCUUUAGCUUUUGAUUUAUUUCUUAAGUCCUCAUAAAGAUUCUAGUAGUGAUGAAUUUCAAAAUUUCUAGCUGUGCUUUGAUUUAUUGAGAUAGUAACACAAGCAAAACCAAGGUAUAAAGGUUUUGUAGAAACUUUACUACUUUGGUUUUGAUUAGGAUUUUCUUUUGUAUACUUGUUCAGGUGAAAGAUUUGUGAAUAAUUAUCAACUUAAAAUUAUAUAUAUGACCUAUCAUUUAGACAUGCAACUCUUACACUUUAUGUAAACUUGAAAUAAAGCUUUCAGACUCAAAAUAUUUUUAUUUUUUUGAAAAAUAGUAUUGAAAAUCUUGCUUGGAAUCUUUGAAAACUGAUUGAGGCUUUAUUUAUUUAACUUAUGGUGUACACCUACAUUAUGGACUUGUAUGCACAAUGGCUCUGGAAGGAUUAUUUGAAUUUAGAAUUGUCACAGCUACAAAUGAAUUACUUGAUAAUAAAACUUAUGUAUGAUGGACAAAGACAUGCUUUUAUAGUCAACUUCUGUGAGUGUGUAUGCAUAGAUAGAUAGAUAGAUAGAUAGAUUAGAAUUUUAUUUCAUAGUGACUAUAGUUGUUUGGAUAAUAUUUUCAAACUGUCCCUACUGUGGAAUUUGUGAUACCCAUAAGUGCAUCAGUCCAGAGAAUGUUUCUACAAUGGUCCAGAUUGUUUUUACGUCCUGAUUUGAUAUCAUCUCGAGAAAGUUAUUUUGAGUUCCACCCUGAAAGAGGUUUGGCUGAGAGAGCCAGUGCAGAUUGUAUGCAGUUUCAUUUUGAAGUUUCUCAACUGUAUUGCUAUGGUUCCUACAUACUAUUUGUCUGAUUUUCUUUUUGUUGGUGUUAGAGAUGAUAGAAGUUGAGGAUUUUUCUCUCGUUCCACUUAUUAUUGGCAAAAGGCUAUGGCUGCCCUAGAAAGGAAUCAUUUCUCUUUGCUAUUCAGAUAGACAUUCCAGGUUACAGGUCAAACUCUGUCUUUUUUUUUGGAGGAAACGAAUGAUCUCUAGGUUUGAAUAUUCUAAAACCAGCAUUCUGUAAUAUUCAUGAAACCUUAAAUCAGUGUUCCCUCCAGUUUUACUAUUAAAUUAUCAGGGUUUUUGUAUUUACUUGGUUCAUUCCAGUGUGUUUGUGAGAUGACAUCUACAGAGAUUUGUAAGCUUUUCAAACCAAAGAGCAAAAUUAUGUAAAUAUUCAUAAGUGCUGUGAAAUGAAGCAGUGUGAAAAUAAGAUCUGAGAACUUUAAUCUGUACAUCAGAAUUCAUUCUUUCUUUUACUCUGUUCUUUUCUCCACACCUAGAUCCCCAUUUUUCCUCUGUACAUCUUGCAUUUCCUUUUAUCCUAACUGUUCUCCUUUCACCUCUUGCAAUAAUUAGAUAACAUAUAGCUCUUUGGCCCAAGACUUAACAUUUAAUAAUUUUAUAAUUUUUAUCUCACAUCCUGUUUAAUGGUUUUUACCUUAGGAGAUAGUAGUGAAAAUAAUCCUUUCAAGGUGACGUGCUAAUAAUAGGAGUAUACAUAGUAUACUUCUAGGGUAUUUUUUUUCUGGAACUGUUGACUUUUAAAAUAACGUGUUAUUUUAAUUUAAAUAAUAUAUUUUGAAUGAGAGAGAUCUCUUUGACUCCAUAGUAAAUCAUAUGUAAAUAAUAACAAUUAAUUAACAAUCCUUUAUCUAUAGAAUAUCUGCUUAAAGUAUAGUAGACCAGGAAAGUAGCUCACUGCCUUAAUUUUCCUCUUUUUAAAUAAUUGCUUGGCUUCCUAUUCCAUUAAACCCUGGAAAUAUGAAAUAUGAGCUCUAAUAAUAUGUUAUAAAUCAAAAUAAUUAUGAGAUAUAGAUAAAAUAUUGCUCUUUUAGCAAUGAUACACUACAUGUUCUUCCAAAUGUUCAUAUUUUACAAGGAAUGCACUCCAUGUAGAACUGAGUCCUGACGGGAACUCCCCUCAGUUAUUAACGUUAAUUGAGAUCUCAUUCUGUGAGGUGCACCAUACCAAAAAAAAUAGAAUUUCAGGAGUUCCUGUCAUGGCUCAGCAGUUACCAAACCCGACUAGUAUCCAUGAGGACACGGGUUUGAUCCUGGCCUCAC
Molecule: non-coding RNA, 5124 nt
Organism: Sus scrofa (pig)
Lineage: Eukaryota; Metazoa; Chordata; Mammalia; Artiodactyla; Suidae
Source: RefSeq, a predicted model, not a curated record